Molecule: ribosomal RNA, 482 nt
Filed under: uncultured bacterium
Lineage: Bacteria
Description: partial 16S ribosomal RNA
Rfam family: Bacterial small subunit ribosomal RNA
Source: RNAcentral
AUUGAACGCUGGCGGCAUGCUUUACACAUGCAAGUCGAACGGUAACAGCACUUCGGUGGCUGACGAGUGGCGAACGGGUGAGUAAUACAUCGGAACGUGCCUAGUAGUGGGGGAUAACUACUCGAAAGAGUAGCUAGUACCGCAUGAGAUCUAAGGAUGAAAGCAGGGGACCUUCGGGCCUUGCGCUACUAGAGCGGCUGAUGGCAGAUUAGGUAGUUGGUGGGAUAAAAGCUUACCAAGCCGACGAUCUGUAGCUGGUCUGAGAGGACGACCAGCCACACUGGGACUGAGACACGGCCCAGACUCCUACGGGAGGCAGCAGUGGGGAAUUUUGGACAAUGGGCGCAAGCCUGAUCCAGCAAUGCCGCGUGCAGGAUGAAGGCCUUCGGGUUGUAAACUGCUUUUGUACGGAACGAAAAGCCCUCUUCUAAUACAGGAGGGUCAUGACGGUACCGUAAGAAUAAGCACCGGCUAACUACGUG